AACUUCUAACAAUGUAUCUCGUGGCUCUCGCAUCGAUUAAGAACGCAGCGAAAUGCGAUAAGUAAUGUGAAUUGCAGAAUUCAGUGAAUCAUCGAAUCUUUGAACGCACCUUGCGCCCUUUGGCCAUUCCGAAGGGCAUGCCUGUUUGAGUAGCAUGAACACCUCAACUCUUCAUGGUUUUCCAUGACGAGCUUGGACUUUGGGGGUCUUGCUGGCCUGCAGUCAGCUCCUCUCAAAUGAAUCAGCUUGCCAGUGUUUGGUGGGCAUCACAGGUGUGAUAACUAUCUACGCUUGUGAUUUUCCACCAGGUAACCUUCAGCAGUGGAGGUUCGCUGGAGCUCACAGACAUGUCUCUCCUCAGUGAGGACAGCCCUUUUAAUGUUUGAUCUCAAAUCAGGUAGGACUACCCGCUGAACUUAAGCAUAUCAAUAAGCGGAGGCU
Molecule: unclassified non-coding RNA, 441 nt
Filed under: uncultured Thelephoraceae
Lineage: Eukaryota; Fungi; Basidiomycota; Agaricomycetes; Thelephorales; Thelephoraceae
Description: sequence contains ITS2
Rfam family: 5.8S ribosomal RNA (bases 1-155)
Source: RNAcentral